CUAACAGUUAAGGAAUUAGGGGCCAAAAAGGGGCCAAAAAUAAGCAUUUUUGUAACUUCCAGACAUAACUUGUGUGUAAGUAUAUGGAUCUCUCUGACAUUGUUCCACAAGGUUCCAUAUCACAAAGGGAAUGCUGGGAUUGAUUUUGGGGGUAAUUGCCUCCAAAUUUUAGGAAUUAGGGGCCAAAAAGGGGCAAAAAACAAGCAUUUUUCUAGUUUCAUGACAAUAACUUGUGUGUAAGUGUAUGGAUCUCUCUGACAUUGUAUCACAAGGUUCCAUAUCACAAAGGGAAUACUGGGAUUGAUUUUUGGGGGUAAUUUCCUCCAAAUUUUGGGAAUUAGGGGCCAAAAAGGGGCAAAAAACAAGCAUUUUUCUAGUUUCAGGACAAUAACUUGUUUGUAAGUGUAUGGAUCUUUAUGAAAUUGUACUGCAAGGUUCCAUAUCACAAAGGGAAAGCUGGGUUUGAGUUUGGGGGUAAUUGCCCUAAACGUUUAGGAAUUUGGGGCCAAAAAGGGGCCAAAAAACACAUUUUUUUCUAGUUUCCAGACAAUAACUUGUGUUCAAGUGUAUGGAUCUCUCUGAAAUUGUACUGCAAGGUAGCAUACCACAAAGGGAAGGCUGGGAUUGAGUUUGGGGGUGAUGAAUCAUAAUGGGGGUUCAAAAAAUUUUGGGGGGGGAUUUAUUUUUUUUUUCUUUUUUUUUCUUUUUUUCCUUUUUUGUUUCUUUUAAAAUUUUCCAUUUUAAGUUGGUUAUUUCUGAUUUAUAUUUAAAAUCAAAUAAUAAUGAUAUGGUAGGAGAUACACACCAAACAGGAUGUGUAAAUUAUUAUAUAAUAAGUAUUGUGCAAUAGCAAGAAAUUUUCAAUUGCACAGUAUUGCACAAUAGCAAGAAAUCUUCAAUUGCACAGUAUUGCGCAAUAGCAAGAAAUCUUCAAUUGCACAGUAUUGCGCAAUAGCAAGAAAUAUCCAAUAGCACAAUAUUGCGCAAUAGCAAGAAAUUGUCAAUUGUACAGUAUUGCGCAAUAGCAAGAAAUAUUUAAUAGCACAGGAUUGUGCAAAAGAAGAUACUUCCUAUAAAUUGCUUAUUUCUUGACCAAUUUCAAUGGGGUUUUAUUCUUGAUUUCAUGGGGUUCUUUAAUAUGCUGAAUAUAACCGUGUAUUUAGUUUUUGGAUUUUGGGCCCCGUUUUUAAAUUGGUCCACAUUGAGGUCCAAAGGGUCCAAAAUUAAACUUAGUUUGAUUUUAACAAAAAUUGAAUUCUUAGGGUUCUUUGAUAUGCUGAAUCUAAACAUGUAUUUAGAUUUUUGAUUAUGGGCCCAGUUUUCAAGUUGGUCCAAAUCGGGGUCCAAAAUUAAACUUUGUUUGAUUUCAACAAAAAUUGAAUAUAUGGGGUUCUUUGAUAUGCUGAAUCUAACCAUGUAUUUAGAUUUUUGAUUUUUGGGCCCCGUUAUCAACUUUGUCCACAUUGAGGUCAAAAGGGUCCAAAAUUAAACUUUGUUUGAUUUCAUCAAAAAUUGAAUUAUUGGGGUUCUUUGAUAUGCCGAAUCUAACCGUGUAUUUAGAUUCUUAAUUUUUGGUUCCGUUUUCAAAUUGGUCUACAUUAAGGUCCAAAGGGUCCAAAAUUAAACUUAGUUUGAUUUUAACAAAAAUUGAAUUCUUAGGGUUCUUUGAUAUGCUGAAUCUAAACAUGUAUUUAGAUUUUUGAUUAUGGGCCCAGUUAUCAAGUUGGUCCAAAUCGGGGUCCAAAAUUAAACUUUGUUUGAUUUCAACAAAAAUUGAAUAUAUGGGGUUCUUUGAUAUGCUGAAUCUAACCAUGUAUUUAGAUUUUUGAUUUUUGGGCCCCGUUAUCAACUUUGUCCACAUUGAGGUCAAAAGGGUCCGAAAUUAAACUUUGUUUGAUUUCAUCAAAAAUUGAAUUCUUGGGGUUCUUUGAUAUGCUGAAUCUAACCAUGUAUUUAGAUUUUGGAUAUUGGACCAUAAUAGGUGAAUGUCCAAUUUAAAAUUUUUAAGUUCUUAGACCACAUUCAAUCUGUGUUAGAAACCUAUGCUGUG
Molecule: long non-coding RNA, 2050 nt
Organism: Mytilus californianus (California mussel)
Lineage: Eukaryota; Metazoa; Mollusca; Bivalvia; Mytilida; Mytilidae
Exons: 3
Source: RefSeq, a predicted model, not a curated record